RNAcentral lists this ribosomal RNA (1392 nucleotides) under Triticum aestivum (bread wheat). RNAcentral describes it as "partial small subunit ribosomal RNA". The record is from RNAcentral. Lineage: Eukaryota; Viridiplantae; Streptophyta; Magnoliopsida; Poales; Poaceae.
AUGGAAAUCGUGCGAUCCCAACGGCAGCUCGCGGCGGCGGCCGCAGCCGCCAGCGGCGGAGGCAGCGGCGCGGGUGCCCUGCCAACGUACCGUGUGGCGCCGCAGCUGGAGGUGCGGCUGGAGGAGUUCGAGCUCUUCGCCAUCGACCGCCUGCGAGUCCUGAAGGGGAUCUCGGAUGGGCUUUCGCGGGGGAAGAGGCCGGAGGAGAUGGAGAAACUGGUAAGCGAAUUGUGGAAGGCACAUAUGAGGCACCAGGAUCCAGCAGAGACUUUGAACAAGGACUUAAUAUCUCACUUUGUGCUCCGUCUUGUAUACUGCAGAACGGAGGAAUUGCGUAAGUGGUUUCUCUCCAUGGAAAAUACACUGUUUCGGUAUCGCUUUCGUCUCGAGAGUCCUGAAUCACAGAGGCUUCUUAUGAGUGAGUUUCAGCUUCCAUACAAAGCAUUGCCACACUCAGAAUUCGAGGCUGUGAAAGAUAAGUUAAGCCAAGUUGCACGGUCCAUCGGUCAAUCGGCAAGCGUUGAAUCUGUGUUCUUCAAGGUACCUUUUGAAGAAGUUCCAGAUCUUGUUGCCAGCCGCCGAGUAUUCCUUUCAAAGGGCUAUGCUUAUGUUGCGAUGAGUCAGGUGGUUUCACUUGUGGUAACCCAGUUCCGCUGCAAUAUCUCAAAGGCACUUGUUUUAACAAAUAGGAAAUGGACUGCGACCAUUAAGGAGCAAGAAAAGGACAGGUUGACUCCUAUUGUUGAGGCGUUAAGCAAUGCGUAUUUUGGACCUGAUUACUCUCAGCCAAAUGAUGCUACUGAGAUUUCGUCGAAGGAUAUUGAUCAACUGGCUAGAACUUCUUUCCCUCUUUGUAUACGCCAUAUGCUAGAGAAGUUGAGAGAAAACCAUCAUCUCAAACACGGGGGUAGAAUGCAGUUUGGUCUUUUCCUCAAGGGUGCUGGGCUAAAGCUGGAGGAUGCUCUCACAUUUUGGAGAUCAGAAUUCUCUCAGAAGGUUGGCUCUGAGCGAUUUGACAAGGAAUAUGCAUAUACUAUCAGACACAAUUAUGGAAAAGAAGGAAAACGAACGGAUUACACUUCAUAUUCAUGUCAAAAGAUCAUAUCCGCUACACCUGGUGUUGGUGAUCAUCAUGGUUGCCCUUAUCGACAUUUUGGUGAAGAGAACCUGAGAGCAGCUCUCAACAAUAUGGGUGUUGGUGGAAAUGCUUUGGAAGGGAUACUCGAUAAAGUGAAGAACAGGCAUUACCAGCUAGCUUGCACAAUGACUUUUGAGGCAACUCAUGGUGUCUCAUGUGAUACCGGAAUCAAUCAUCCUAAUCAGUAUUUCAGCGAAAGCCAGAAAGUCUUGCAAGCUAAGAACCAAACAGUGCAGAGUCAGUUAUCGACCUAA